CACGCAGGCGGUUUGUUAAGUCAGAUGUGAAAUCCCCGGGCUCAACCUGGGAACUGCAUUUGAAACUGGCAAGCUAGAGUCUCGUAGAGGGGGUAGAAUUCCAGGUGUAGCGGUGAAAUGCGUAGAGAUCUGGAGGAAUACCGGUGGCGAAGGCGGCCCCCUGGACGAAGACUGACGCUCAGGUGCGAAAGCGUGGGGAGCAAACA
Molecule: ribosomal RNA, 206 nt
Filed under: uncultured bacterium
Lineage: Bacteria
Description: partial 16S ribosomal RNA
Rfam family: Bacterial small subunit ribosomal RNA
Source: RNAcentral